GGAACUCUGUAGACUGGGCUGCCCUUAAA
This 29-nucleotide non-coding RNA is filed under the name Rattus norvegicus (Norway rat). The record is from RNAcentral. Lineage: Eukaryota; Metazoa; Chordata; Mammalia; Rodentia; Muridae.